RNAcentral lists this ribosomal RNA (292 nucleotides) under uncultured bacterium. Its description in RNAcentral is "partial 16S ribosomal RNA". It matches the Rfam family "Bacterial small subunit ribosomal RNA", at positions 505 to 796 of the family's 1533-position model. The record is from RNAcentral.
GUGCCAGCAGCCGCGGUAAAACGUAGGACGCGAGCGUUAUCCGGAGUUACUGGGCGUAAAGGGCGGGUAGGCGGUCAGUCAAGUUGGAUGUGAAAUCUCCCGGCUAAACUGGGAGGGGGCAUUCGAAACUGAUUGGCUAGAGGACAGCAGAGGGUCGCGGAAUUCCGGGUGGAGUGGUGAAAUGCGUAGAGAUCCGGAGGAACACCAGAGGCGAAAGCGGCGACCUGGGCUGUAACUGACGCUGAACCGCGAAAGCCAGGGGAGCGAACGGGAUUAGAAACCCCCGUAGUCC